This 43-nucleotide transfer RNA is filed under the name Tetranychus ludeni (bean spider mite). Its description in RNAcentral is "tRNA-Pro". The record is from RNAcentral. Lineage: Eukaryota; Metazoa; Arthropoda; Arachnida; Trombidiformes; Tetranychidae.
CAGAUUUCAAUUUUAAUUUGGAUUUAAUUUUUUUUUAAUCUGA